This 440-nucleotide ribosomal RNA is filed under the name uncultured bacterium. Its description in RNAcentral is "partial 16S ribosomal RNA". It matches the Rfam family "Bacterial small subunit ribosomal RNA", at positions 338 to 795 of the family's 1533-position model. The record is from RNAcentral.
CCUACGGGAGGCAGCAGUGGGGAAUAUUGCACAAUGGGGGAAACCCUGAUGCAGCGACGCCGCGUGAGUGAAGACGUACUUCGGGAUGUAAAGCUCUAUCAGCAGGGAAGAAAAUGACGGUACCUGAGUAAGAAGCUCCGGCUAACUACGUGCCAGCAGCCGCGGUAAUACGUAGGGGGCAAGCGUUAUCCGGAUGUACUGGGUGUAAAGGGAGCGUAGACGGUGAUGCAAGUCAGUAGUGAAAGCUCGCGGCUCAACUCUGGGAUUGCUUUUGAAACUGUGUGACUGGAGUUCAGGCGAGGUAAGCGGAAUUCGUGGUGUAGCGGUGAAAUGCGUAGAUAUCAGGAGGAACACCAGUGGCGAAGGCAGCUUACUGAACUGUAACUGACGUUGAGGCUCGAAAGCGUGGGGAGCAAACAGGAUUAGAUACCCGUGUAGUC